GACGAACUCUGGCGGCGCGCCUAACACAUGCAAGUCGAACGAGCGAGAGGAGGUUUACUUUCUCAAGCGAGUGGCGAACGGGUGAGUAACGCGUGAGGAACCUGCCUCAAAGAGGGGGACAACAGUUGGAAACGACUGCUAAUACCGCAUAAGCCCACGACCCGGCAUCGGGUAGAGGGAAAAGGAGCAAUCCGCUUUGAGAUGGCCUCGCGUCCGAUUAGCUAGUUGGUGAGGUAAUGGCCCACCAAGGCGACGAUCGGUAGCCGGACUGAGAGGUUGAACGGCCACAUUGGGACUGAGACACGGCCCAGACUCCUACGGGAGGCAGCAGUGGGGAAUAUUGCACAAAUGGGGGAAACCCUGAUGCAGCGACGCCGCGUGGAGGAAGAAGGUCUUCGGAUUGUAAACUCCUGUUGUUGAGGAAGAUAAUGACGGUACUCAACAAGGAAGUGACGGCUAACUACGUGCCAGCAGCCGCGGUAAAACGUAGGUCACAAGCGUUGUCCGGAAUUACUGGGUGUAAAGGGAGCGCAGGCGGGAAGACAAGUUGGAAGUGAAAUCCAUGGGCUCAACCCAUGAACUGCUUUCAAAACUGUUUUUCUUGAGUAGUGCAGAGGUAGGCGGAAUUCCCGGUGUAGCGGUGGAAUGCGUAGAUAUCGGGAGGAACACCAGUGGCGAAGGCGGCCUACUGGGCACCAACUGACGCUGAGGCUCGAAAGUGUGGGUAGCAAACAAAAUUAGAUACCCUGGUAGUCCACACUGUAAACGAUGAUUACUAGGUGUUGGAGGAUUGACCCUUUCAGUGCCGCAGUUAACACAAUAAGUAAUCCACCUGGGGAGUACGACCGCAAGGUUGAAACUCAAAGGAAUUGACGGGGGCCCGCACAAGCAGUGGAGUAUGUGGUUUAAUUCGACGCAACGCGAAGAACCUUACCAAGUCUUGACAUCCUGCGACGCACAUAGAAAUAUGUGUUUCCUUCGGGACGCAGAGACAGGUGGUGCAUGGUUGUCGUCAGCUCGUGUCGUGAGAUGUUGGGUUAAGUCCCGCAACGAGCGCAACCCUUAUGGUCAGUUACUACGCAAGAGGACUCUGGCCAGACUGCCGUUGACAAAACGGAGGAAGGUGGGGAUGACGUCAAAUCAUCAUGCCCUUUAUGACUUGGGCUACACACGUACUACAAUGGCGUUAAACAAAGAGAAGCAAGACCGCGAGGUGGAGCAAAACUCAGAAACAACGUCCCAGUUCGGACUGCAGGCUGCAACUCGCCUGCACGAAGUCGGAAUUGCUGGUAAUCGCAGAUCAGCAUGCUGCGGUGAAUACGUUCCCGGGCCUUGCACA
This 1339-nucleotide ribosomal RNA is filed under the name uncultured bacterium. RNAcentral's name for it is "bacterial SSU rRNA". It matches the Rfam family "Bacterial small subunit ribosomal RNA", at positions 28 to 1387 of the family's 1533-position model. The record is from RNAcentral.